UCUCUGGUUGAUCCUGCCAGUAGUCAUAUGCUUGUCUCAAAGCUUAAGCCAUGCAAGUGUCAGUACAUACUAAAUUAAAGUGAAACCGCAAAGGGCUCAAUAAACCAGUUUUAAUUUACUAGAGUUUUCACGUUUCGUACGUGGAUAACUGUGGUAAUUCUAGAGCUAAUACAUGCAACUAGUCCGGACCAAAAAUGGAAAGGACGCUUU
Molecule: non-coding RNA, 210 nt
Filed under: Rhodnius prolixus
Lineage: Eukaryota; Metazoa; Arthropoda; Insecta; Hemiptera; Reduviidae
Description: Eukaryotic small subunit ribosomal RNA
Rfam family: Eukaryotic small subunit ribosomal RNA
Source: Rfam by way of RNAcentral